GGAGAGNUGGCUGAGUGGUUGAUA
This 24-nucleotide transfer RNA is filed under the name Mentzelia thompsonii. RNAcentral's name for it is "partial tRNA-Ser". The record is from RNAcentral. Lineage: Eukaryota; Viridiplantae; Streptophyta; Magnoliopsida; Cornales; Loasaceae.